Long non-coding RNA from Trichomycterus rosablanca, 246 nucleotides. RefSeq lists it as uncharacterized. The transcript has 3 exons. NCBI's taxonomy places the organism in Eukaryota, Metazoa, Chordata, Actinopteri, Siluriformes, Trichomycteridae. The record is from RefSeq and is a predicted model, not a curated record.
ACUGCAUUCAUUUUGCCCUGAAACUUCUUGAUGUGGAUGAAGACAAGAUUCAGCUGAUCAUUGAGGAGAUAAAAGAAAUAUUAGCAGAAUUGUUGUAAAUGAAAGCUGCUCGGAAACUGAAGCUGCUGGAGACAGAAGAAAUGCGACUGAUGAAAAUUAUUUUUCUUUUUUUUCUUUUAUUUCUCACUGUGGUUAUUAGAGAUUAAAUCAAAUCUACAUCAUUAAAUUCAUUUCUGAUACAGAAUU